CGUCGGUACUCAGCGGUGUUGGAACUUCGUUGCUUGCUUGCCUGUGCGCGCGUGCGCGGACAUGGCCUCAAACGAUUAUACCCAACAAGCAACCCAAAGCUAUGGGGCCUACCCCACCCAGCCCGGGCAGGGCUAUUCCCAGCAGAGCAGUCAGCCCUACGGACAGCAGAGUUACAGUGGUUAUAGCCAGUCCACGGACACUUCAGGCUAUGGCCAGAGCAGCUAUUCUUCUUAUGGCCAGAGCCAGAACACAGGCUAUGGAACUCAGGAGUAUCUUUGGUGGGGAGUGUGGAGGAUUGCAUGAAUCUCCCUGAAGCCAGUCCCUAGUGCAUGGUUUAGUAUUCUUGUUGUCUAGGGAUCUGUGAGGGCUUUGAUUUGGGGGCAGUGACUUUCUUUUUACAUCCCCAUUUUAUUUUUGUGAGAACUUGGGAGCCUGAACUCCCAUCCAUACCACUGAAUAGAGAUUUUGAGUAAUGAUACUUGUUUCCAAAAAAAAAGAAACCAUACAUAGAUACGUAUGGAUUGGAGUCAUUAAUAUCCUAGGCAAGAAACAUGGAAGUGAAGACUUCUUUCUCUGCAAGGGAAACCGAUGAUCCCACUCCUGGG
RNAcentral lists this long non-coding RNA (606 nucleotides) under Homo sapiens (human). RNAcentral describes it as "long non-coding RNA NONHSAT172878.1". The record is from RNAcentral. Lineage: Eukaryota; Metazoa; Chordata; Mammalia; Primates; Hominidae.